Molecule: long non-coding RNA, 2129 nt
Organism: Tigriopus californicus
Lineage: Eukaryota; Metazoa; Arthropoda; Copepoda; Harpacticoida; Harpacticidae
Exons: 2
Source: RefSeq, a predicted model, not a curated record
UGGGCUGAGAUCCCACUGACGACAAGAUCCUAGAGGAGAACUUCGAGCACGGAAACGGCGACAAGCGGGACAUGAGGAACACACUCACUCUGGCCGGCAUGGGCAUUAUUGAGCACCUGAACCAUCCUUAUCUUCACCAACACAGGCGGACGCUAAGCGUUCUCUAUAGCCAUGCGAAUGACUUGGGAUCGACAACGGCAUAUGCCAAUUGAAAACAUAAGUAACUCUUCAACUAUGUGGGCCGUGUUGGUUCCAUAGACCGACCCGUGUCUAUGAGAGGCUAAUUUGAAAGUACACGGUCCGGACUCCGUCGAUCUGGCCUCCUGGACAGUUCAUGCUUCCUGAGUGAGCUUGCUCCUAUACUUUUCGGGCUCGCGACUGGCCCCUGACUCUCCAUUCUCGAUCGAGUAUUAGGCGAUAUGAACUGCCUCCGCCUCAGAGCUUUCAUAACCUCAACAAGAGCCAAAGUCAUUUCAAGGUGGUCUUCAUGUCGGGUAGUCGUCCAGGGUUUGCCGUUCAUUCCCUUUCUUCCUGGCAUCAAUUGAAGGUUGGAACUCAUCCGUAAUCCAUCUCACUCACUCGCUUGGAACUUGGGACUUCGGGACUGAAUGCAAACGCCCAACCUCAUCCAUCCAUACCCAUAUUCCCCGUAACCAGCCAUGUACACAUCCCUCACGAGCUGGCUCGCCUAGUAACAGGGAAUUUCUCCCUUGGAAACACAGGUCUUUGUGUGGCGCGUGGCUACCCGGUUCUAACCCAGUCAGAAGUCCCUCAACGUCUCAACCCGCGUCUCCCACCGCUUGAACCCAUCCAAACAUCCAUCCAAGGUGUAUGUGUAUGUUUGUACUUUCAAGCAUGGACUGAGAGGCACACACCAAAUCCACACAACGUCUGACUGACCGAGGGAUUGAAGGAAAAAGAGAGAGAGAGAGGGGGGGGAUAAAAGCGGCCUUGACAGGUGGUAACCCGCACCCCGGGAGCAACCAGUGACUUGCGGCGGAGCUUACCUGUCUUCGUCGAACCGGACGAAGGUCAACACCACCGGGGUGGUCAAGCGGGGUCCGGUGGAAGGGAUGUGUAUCACUUAGCAGCACCUGGUGAGAUGGGGGUCUCGUCAGACGUCCCUUCUUGACUUCAAUGGGUAGCGGCAGGAUGCUCGAUUCUCAAAAGCAGAUUGAGCCAGCCAAGCGGAAUGUGGAUUUUUUCUCAUUAUAUGGAGACUUUGAAGAGAUUGAGACAUCACUGACACGCCUGGGAUGAUACUAAAGACUGAUUGGAUAAGAAAAAUCCAAAGAAUUUUGAGACACUUAGAAGGGAGGGAUCCUCACGCUCCGUUCAUGUUGGUAGUCGGAUGACUAAAUAGCAACGCUGAUUCAUGGAUGCAGACUCGCCGCUCUCUUUCGUUGGCCCGACUGCGCCUGCAGAGGACGACAAAAGUGACUGUUCCAAGAAAAAAAAGAGAUUGAUUGAUCGCCCUCAACCCAUAGAUAAAAACAUAUAAUGUAGUUGGUUUUAAAGGUGCAACUUCAAAAAGGAAAUCAAAAUGAAGCAAUGCAAAUUCAUAAAAGUAUUUUUGUGGCAUAGCUUAAUUGAAAUUACGCAAUACGUUUUUAAAUACUCUGUUGUGGUUUUUUUUAAAUCUUGGCUGCUGGCCAACCCCGUCGCAACGACAGAGGCACCCCUCUAGCCAUGCCGACUACAGAGAGGGACCAUAAUCACGUGGAACUCGCCUGGAACGGAGACCCGAUCUGGGACGGUUGGACGUGAGAAGGCGAGAUGAAAAAUGGCCAGGAGGCUCUCAUCGAGGCCAGGCUCUUUACCAGAACUCCAGGGAUACCACCACAACGCGCGGUCCUAGUGGAUUAGCUAGCUAGCAAUAGUUCUUAGAUUAGAGCAAGGAUGUCUCAAUGAAGGAUGAAUUAGAGGAUUAUGGGCUAUAUGCAACAUGGGGCCUACGACAAGUAAGCGGUUAAGGCUGUGAACAAAGGUCGGGGUAAAAUCAUUUCAAACUUGUUUUAGUUUUGAAGAAAAAUGAUUUUGUUAAGGUAUCAGUCUAUCGGAGCAUGUUUAUAUUGAAAUGGAACACAAAAUUAAAGUUUUAAUGUGAAUAAAUACAAAAAUAGAGGUUA